AUUUAGCCCCGAUAGCAGCGGCAUCUCCCGAUUUUUCAUCGGGAAUAUAGCGGAUAGCGGGAUUAGCU
This 68-nucleotide small RNA is filed under the name Flavobacterium swingsii. RNAcentral's name for it is "Flavo-1 RNA". It matches the Rfam family "Flavo-1 RNA". The record is from RNAcentral. Lineage: Bacteria; Pseudomonadati; Bacteroidota; Flavobacteriia; Flavobacteriales; Flavobacteriaceae.